RNAcentral lists this ribosomal RNA (253 nucleotides) under uncultured bacterium. RNAcentral's name for it is "partial 16S ribosomal RNA". It matches the Rfam family "Bacterial small subunit ribosomal RNA", at positions 524 to 776 of the family's 1533-position model. The record is from RNAcentral.
UACGUAGGGUCCGAGCGUUAAUCGGAAUUACUGGGCGUAAAGCGUGCGCAGGCGGUUCGUUAAGUCAGCUGUGAAAGCCCCGGGCUUAACCUGGGAAUGGCGGUUGAAACUGGCGAACUUGAAUCUGGCAGAGGGGGGUGGAAUUCCACGUGUAGCAGUGAAAUGCGUAGAGAUGUGGAGGAACACCGAUGGCGAAGGCAGCCCCCUGGGCUGAGAUUGACGCUCAGGCACGAAAGCGUGGGGAGCAAACAGG